GAAGAAGUAGCUUAAUGAAAGCCCUAUACCUUUAAUAUAGUAGAUGUAAGUUCAAAUCUUACCUUCUUCA
This 70-nucleotide transfer RNA is filed under the name Clostridium perfringens. Its description in RNAcentral is "tRNA-Lys". It matches the Rfam family "tRNA". Rfam says of the family: Transfer RNA (tRNA) molecules are approximately 80 nucleotides in length. Their secondary structure includes four short double-helical elements and three loops (D, anti-codon, and T loops). Lineage: Bacteria; Bacillati; Bacillota; Clostridia; Eubacteriales; Clostridiaceae. The record is from RNAcentral.